Non-coding RNA from Physcomitrium patens, 1677 nucleotides. NCBI's taxonomy places the organism in Eukaryota, Viridiplantae, Streptophyta, Bryopsida, Funariales, Funariaceae. The record is from RefSeq and is a predicted model, not a curated record.
UUAUGAACUCUAGUUUUCUGGAAGUAUUGCUAUGUAGUGAUAAGUCGUGUAGUGAAUAGUCGUGUACCUGGCUUUCCUAUGGUACAUCCUCUUAAUCGGAGUAGUGCAUCUUCCUUUGUUAGUGGGGGUGAGGCGGGGCGAGGUCGAAGUACUGUCUCCUGCUGGCCAUCCAAGUGUGGAAGUUGUUGCCUUGGAGGUGUUGUCCUGUUGCUGCAAAAACUUCAAGCGUUGUAAUGCUUCCGUUGAAUGAGGGAUUAUUUCUAGCCGAUUCGACAAUUCAGUGCAAGUCUUCGGGGCCGUAAGGAACCGCAUCGAAGUAGCGUUGCCUCAUUUCAUUCAUGUGUUGCUGGCGUCGGAGUGUGCGGGGUUUGGUGGGGUAAUGUCCACCGCCAGUGUCUGCGGCAAAAAGGUUGCGGGCGGUAGCCAAUUCCAUUUGGGUGGACGACCCGGUGUUGCGAAUACCCCAUGACUUUUCCAGACUUUGUUGAAGAGUACGAUUAGCUCGUUUAUCUUUUCAAGGGAUCGGCUAUACCACUGCAGGUACCUACCCAUGAUGCUUUGGAGCGCCAUUCGCCAAUCGGUAGCCCCUUGCAAGAUGGAGCUAUUGCAUGGCUACAAUCUUGCUAGGGAACCAAGAGUGCCAGAUUCUUUGGAUGGCUUGUUUCCUUCGCUGAUAUGAGUAUCCUUGCUGGGAUGAUACGGACGUGGUAUGGUGUAGUAUGUGAACCUAUGGCCCUCUUUAUAAAGUUUUCGGAGUGCCAUGUUCUUGAAGAGAGGAGCCAUUUCAUUCUUGGAUCGUUUGUCCAGUUCCAAGUGCAAGGGUGUUGGGAAGCCCAUAUUCCGAUCGAUUUCUGCCAGUUUAUCUUUUCUCCACUUCCUUCACAUUAAAUGGUGAGUAUCUCCAUGGCCCUAUCCAGAUUAGUUUCGUUUUCUUGUAGAUAGAGAGCUGAAUCAUCAGCGUACAUUUGAUUAGUGGUGGAUCUGCCGUCGGGGAGAGUGAAGCCGUCUAAUGCUCUAUUUGGGUCUGCAAGCAUAUGUCUGAGGACGUCUCCUGCGAGUAGAUAGAGGUAGGGUGCUAAGGGGCACCUUUGCCUUACGGAUCGUUGGAGUGAAAAUUGUUCAUCUGGAGUACCAUUAUCACUUGUGCGGAUGCUUCCUUAUUUAGUCCCAUCACAAGGUCCACCCAGUCUUGUGGAAAGCCCAUAUGUAGCAUUGUUUCUUCUAGGAACUUCCAACUAAUUCUAUCAUAUGCCUUUUCGAAGUCCAAUAGAAGAAGGAUCAAGGAUUAGUUACUCUCUAUUGCCCAGGCCAUUGCUGAUCGUACCAUAAAGGUGUUGUCAAAGAUGCAUCUUCCUAGCACAAAAGCUGUUUGAGAACUUCUUUAUCCAGAUGGGGAGGAAUGGUAUCAUACGAUUUGCAAGGAUUUUGGCGAUUAUCUUGUAGACUGAGCUUAGUAUGGAAAUCGGCUUGAAGUUGGUGAGAUAUACGAGUUCCCCUCCCUUUGGAAUUAGACAGAUCGUGCUUGUAUUGAGUGAUCGAUACAGGGCUUUGGUAGUAAAGAUUUCGGUGAUCAGGCCUAAGAGGUCGCCGAUUAUGUCAUCCAAGAAAGUUUGAAAGAACUCGAUGGAGAUACCAUCGAGACCGGGUGAUUUGCCGAUAGGCAGACCUUUGACUGCU